AAUCACCGCCCGCUGCUUCGAGAACUACCGCAGCUAUUCGAGGACCCGAGCGAGGGGCCACCAUCCCAGGUACAGCUGCCGCUUGAACAACUCCAUCUUCCUUACCGAGUACGGCGCCAACUACUCGUGGAGGUGGAGGAACGGCCGCCGCGCGUCGCGCAGCGUCAUGAGCUCCAACCACAGCGCCUACUCCAGGAAGAGGGGCUGCCGGUGGUCGUAGCCCCCGUCCCCUUGCCUGAGGUCGCCGCCGCGCAAGCCCGGGUAGCCCGUGCACAUGCCCACCAGGAACCAUCGCGGGAGGCCGUCGCGGUACCGGUACUUGAACAGGUCGUACAGGUCGCACUUCUUGUGGCUCAGGCCGCAGAGGAGGUCGAGGCUGAACGAGGCGCACCGCGCGUACUUGGGGCCCACCUAGCCCUGCGGCGGGCGCUGCGCCUCCCCGCGGGUCCGCAGGCGCGGCAGGAGCGGUUGCGCGCGCCGGUGCUCCACCUGCUCCAACGGCGGCCUCGACAGGGGCUGCUCCUUCUGGGCCCUGUACAGGCGCCGGAGCGCCUCCUCGAGCCGGCGCCCGAGCAGCUCUCGCGGAAGCAGCCUGUGCCGCUAACUGGCGUCGGCCGCCUCGUGCAGCUGUGGCCACAGCUCGACCCGCCCGUACGCCACGAGACCCCGAUUCCCAUCGAGCCGCCACUGCUGGUGCCGCCCUUCCCGCGUCCGAUCCGCGCGCAUCUUCACCACCAUGUCCUGGGUCCUGCCCACCCUCUACGUCUUCGGCGGCGGCACCUCGACGUGCUACUGCCCCUCCGCCGGCCGCGACGGGCGCAGCUGGAGCCCCUCCAUGUGGGCCUCCGAACCGAGGGGGAGGGGCCCCUCCAGCACCUCGCACACCGGCAGCGCCCCGUGCCGCAUCCCGACGUGGCCGAGGUACUCGCCGUCCCGGAGGCCGCCCGGGCAGGUGCACGCCAGCUACGACGGCAGCAGGUAGUGCGCGUUGGUCGGCCUGUGGAGCAGGUGGUGGAAUGCCGGCGAGCCGCCGCGGCGCCACCAGCGGACCACGACGCUCCGCCGCCGCCCCCGGUAGCCAGCAGCGACACAACCUCAUACAAUGUGCGAGAUGCCACGCCCAGCGCGCCAGACCGUUCACGCGCCGCAGCACACAUCUCGUGGCACACUCUCACACUACCAAACCACCACCGUUGUCCCCUCCCCUACACCUCAAAAUAUC
This 1222-nucleotide ribosomal RNA is filed under the name Triticum aestivum (bread wheat). Its description in RNAcentral is "partial small subunit ribosomal RNA". The record is from RNAcentral. Lineage: Eukaryota; Viridiplantae; Streptophyta; Magnoliopsida; Poales; Poaceae.